RNAcentral lists this long non-coding RNA (1183 nucleotides) under Heterocephalus glaber (naked mole-rat). RNAcentral's name for it is "lncRNA (ENSHGLG00100033287.1)". The record is from RNAcentral. Lineage: Eukaryota; Metazoa; Chordata; Mammalia; Rodentia; Bathyergidae.
GAAUGAGACGCUCUGCCCAGCCCAGGGACUGCCACAGCGACGAUCGCACUCCCUACCACCUCCCCCAGAAACGGUUGCAUUUAGGGCGGCUUCUGCUGUCUUGAAAAUCUCCAGAUACACUGACUUCUUCCCUUCAGCCUUCUCAAUUUACUCAUCUCUCCUGCUGUCAAAAAUGUUCUCUUCCUGGCUCCCCAAGCCCCCCCCCCCUCAAUUGUUCGCCUUGCCAUUGGUCACCAUGACAACCACCUGUAUUUAAUGGGCUUAAGUCCUCUGCUCCCCCCGCCAGCUGCACUCUGCAAACUCAGAACAUCACUCUAACCACCAGUUCCAACAGCCUCUCGUCUCCUCAGUGCCCGCCCCACUGACCCUGAGGUGUAUUUUAACAUCUCUGAGAAUCCCUUCUGCUUAAAAUGCUAAGCUGAAGGCCUGAAGCCUCCUGCUUGUAAGAAGGAAUGCCACUCUCUGCUCUCUGCCUGCCUGUCUAAAGCCUCUGCCUUCAGAAGCAAACUCAGGUUGGACCUUACCCCCACAGUCUUUCUGGUUCUCGGGCCUUGGACUUGGACUAGAAUCUCACCACGUCUCUCCAGCUUCCCACCUGCAGAUCUCAGGCCUCACACCCAUCUCCUGUACCUUCCAUCUCCGAUCUACCCUCACUGCGGCCACCUCCAAGACCUCUCACAAAAUGCAGAUCUGAUUGUAAUUUCCCCCUUCUCAGAAGCCUUUAGUGAAUCCUGAUUGCCUACAAAAUGACACCACUUAGCAGAGAGUGGGAAGAAGGUUGGCUACUCUGGACCCAAACAUCUUUGCUCCUCCCUUUACCAUCUCCACAUCGACCUCUUGGCUCAAGUCCAGGCUUCUCCAUAUCCUCACCUUCAGCUAAUUAUUCCUGGGCCUUCAGCAACCUGGAAUGCCCAGUUUCGUGGGCCUCCAAGGUUAACUUCAAGGGCUGCCUUCUCCUGGAAGCUACUGCCUUUCCCUCCUGCCCAGUGUGAAUAAACCUCUCCCUGCUCAGCACACUGUGCACACCGGCUCUAGGGCACCUAUUCUGCAGUGCAUGGAGAGUGAUCAUCCAUUGCAGGAAGACUUUGCUUUCUACAUGUCUGUUUGCUCAGCACCUGGAUCAGAAUGAGGGUCACCAAUGAGUGACAUUGAAAACCUGAUGAGGAGAGUAUGCUGGUUAAAG